ACUCAUGCCCCGUUCCAGCACUCCCAUAUCUCUGAUCGUAUUCCCGUGUGUACCGACCUCCGCCUGUUCUCCGACCAACCCUGUAAGCCUGACACCCCUUGAUACUCCUGCCUGCUUUGAUUGUUCCCCCGUGUACCUAUGCCCGACGUCCUGACUACCGCUGCUGCACCUGACUGCCUGCCAGAUCCCCGAUCUUGGAAUAAUAAACAUUUUUCACGAAUUACAUCUGCGUCUUCCGACUCCUGCAUUUGGGUCCUACCUCCGUCUCGAUGGCUUCAGUCAGAACCAGUUGGUCAGUGGGUUUGGUGAGUUUACCGUGGGCCCGUUCUUCCCAGGCGUAAUCACGACAGUCGUCGUCCUCAUCCUGCAACGUUGUGUGCAGUUUCAGGUACUGCAACAUUAUUGGCCGGCAUCGUCAGAGAAUGUGAACUUUUGAAGAAAACUACAGAGGAACUUUCCAGCAUGUGACGACAGGCUUGGCUUGCUUGUUGUAUAUCAGUUGCCGAGACAACCACCAG
Long non-coding RNA from Syngnathoides biaculeatus (alligator pipefish), 518 nucleotides. RefSeq lists it as uncharacterized. The transcript has 3 exons. NCBI's taxonomy places the organism in Eukaryota, Metazoa, Chordata, Actinopteri, Syngnathiformes, Syngnathidae. The record is from RefSeq and is a predicted model, not a curated record.